ACGGGGUGCAGCAGGCGCGAAACCUUUACACUGCACGCGAGUGCGAUAAGGGGACUCCGAGUGCGAGGGCAUAUAGUCUUCGCUUUUCACGACCGUAAGGUGGUCGUAGAAUAAGUGCUGGGCAAGACCGGUGCCAGCCGCCGCGGUAAUACCGGCAGCACGAGUGAUGACCGCUAUUAUUGGGCCUAAAGCGUCCGUAGCUGGCCACGCAAGUCUAUCGGGAAAUCCGCGCGCUUAACGCGCGGGCGUCCGGUGGAAACUGUGGGGCUUGGGACCGGAAGACCAGAGGGGUACGUCCGGGGUAGGAGUGAAAUCCCGUAAUCCUGGACGGACCACCGGUGGCGAAAGCGCCUCUGGAAGACGGAUCCGACGGUGAGGGACGAAAGCUCGGGUCACGAACCGGAUUAGAUACCCCUGUAGUCC
RNAcentral lists this ribosomal RNA (423 nucleotides) under uncultured archaeon. RNAcentral's name for it is "bacterial SSU rRNA". It matches the Rfam family "Archaeal small subunit ribosomal RNA", at positions 325 to 747 of the family's 1478-position model. The record is from RNAcentral.